AGGACGAACGCUGGCGGCGUGCUUAACACAUGCAAGUCGAGCGGAAAGGCCCUUCGGGGUACUCGAGCGGCGAACGGGUGAGUAACACGUGAGCAACCUGCCCUUAGCUUCGGGAUAGCUCCGGGAAACCGGAAUUAAUACCGAAUAUGACUUUGGCUGACAUCAGCAGAAGUGGAAAGUUUUUCGGCUAGGGAUGGACUCGCGGCCUAUCAGCUAGUUGGUGAGGUAACGGCCCACCAAGGCGACGACGGGUAGCCGGCCUGAGAGGGCGACCGGCCACACUGGGACUGAGACACGGCCCAGACUCCUACGGGAGGCAGCAGUGGGGAAUAUUGCGCAAUGGGCGAAGGCCUGACGCAGCGACGCCGCGUGGGGGAAGAAGGCCUUCGGGUCGUAAACCACUGUCGAAGGGGAAGAUAUUGACGGUACCCUUGGAGGAAGCCCCGGCUAACUACGUGCCAGCAGCCGC
This 469-nucleotide ribosomal RNA is filed under the name uncultured bacterium. Its description in RNAcentral is "SSU rRNA". It matches the Rfam family "Bacterial small subunit ribosomal RNA", at positions 26 to 518 of the family's 1533-position model. The record is from RNAcentral.